UACGAAGGGGGCUAGCGUUGCUCGGAAUCACUGGGCGUAAAGGGUGCGUAGGCGGGUCUUUAAGUCAGGGGUGAAAUCCUGGAGCUCAACUCCAGAACUGCCUUUGAUACUGAAGAUCUUGAGUUCGGGAGAGGUGAGUGGAACUGCGAGUGUAGAGGUGAAAUUCGUAGAUAUUCGCAAGAACACCAGUGGCGAAGGCGGCUCACUGGCCCGAAACUGACGCUGAGGUGCGAAAGCGUGGGGAGCAAACAGG
Molecule: ribosomal RNA, 253 nt
Filed under: uncultured bacterium
Lineage: Bacteria
Description: partial 16S ribosomal RNA
Rfam family: Bacterial small subunit ribosomal RNA
Source: RNAcentral